RNAcentral lists this ribosomal RNA (460 nucleotides) under uncultured bacterium. RNAcentral describes it as "partial 16S ribosomal RNA". It matches the Rfam family "Bacterial small subunit ribosomal RNA", at positions 338 to 795 of the family's 1533-position model. The record is from RNAcentral.
CCUACGGGAGACAGCAGUGAGGAAUAUUGGUCAAUGGACGAGAGUCUGAACCAGCCAAGUAGCGUGAAGGAUGACUGCCCUAUGGGUUGUAAACUUCUUUUAUAUGGGAAUAAAAUGUUCCACGUGUGGGCUUUUGUAUGUACCAUAUGAAUAAGGAUCGGCUAACUCCGUGCCAGCAGCCGCGGUAAUACGGAGGAUCCGAGCGUUAUCCGGAUUUAUUGGGUUUAAAGGGUGCGUAGGUGGAUUGUUAAGUCAGGUGUGAAAGUUCGCGGCUCAACCGUAAAAUUGCAGUUGAAACUGGCAGUCUUGAGUACAGUAGAGGUAGGCGGAAUUCGUGGUGUAGCGGUGAAAUGCUUAGAUAUCACGAAGAACUCCGAUUGCGAAGGCAGCUCACUGGACUGCAACUGACACUGAGGCUCGAAAGUGUGGGUAUCAAACAGGAUUAGAUACCCUUGUAGUC